RNAcentral lists this small RNA (177 nucleotides) under Chrysemys picta bellii (western painted turtle). RNAcentral describes it as "TUC338 (ENSCPBG00000025190.1)". Lineage: Eukaryota; Metazoa; Chordata; Testudines; Emydidae. The record is from RNAcentral.
GUGGAAUUAGUGGGGACUGAAAUCUUCUCUCCUCGGAGCAGGUAGAGCCUGGACAGAGUCAGUUAAGUGCUUCCCCCUGGCAAGCCGGUCACCGUGCCUCUAUUGUAAACAGGAAGGGACCCAGUUGGGGACGAGAGGGGAGCUCAGGCCCCGUGGCCCAUUCAAUCCUUGGCCUGG